Molecule: ribosomal RNA, 427 nt
Filed under: Clostridium botulinum
Lineage: Bacteria; Bacillati; Bacillota; Clostridia; Eubacteriales; Clostridiaceae
Description: bacterial LSU rRNA
Rfam family: Bacterial large subunit ribosomal RNA
Source: RNAcentral
CUCGAAAUACCUUUAGAGCUAGCGUAGGAAAAGGUGAGUACUGGGGGUAAAGCACUGAAUGGCCUAGGCGGCAUAACGCUUACCGAACCUUAUCAAACUCCGAAUACCAGAUACUAUGAGUCCGGCAGUCAGACGGGCAAAGAUAAGUACCGUAGUCAAAAGGGAAACAGCGCAGGUCGUCAGCUAAGGUCCCAAAGUGUAAGUUGAGUGGAAAAGGAUGUGGGAUUUCUAAGACAACUAGGAUGUUGGCUUAGAAUCAGGCGCUCAUUAAAAGAGUGCGUAACAGCUCACUAGUCAAGAGAUCCUGCGCCGAAAUUGUCCGGGGCUCAAACUUACUCACGAAGCUCCGGGGUCACAGAUUGGGGUGAGCGGUAGAGCAGCGCCGUAAUCGGGCUGGAGGCGUACCGGAAGGGGCGGCGGGCUGAUG